AACCUAGCACACCUGCGGUGUGUACCUGCGGAGGGAUCAUUACCGAGUUUACAAACUCCCAACCCUUUGUGAACCUUACCAUAUUGUUGCUUCGGCGGGACCGCCCCGGCGCCUUCGGGCCCGGAACCAGGCGCCCGCCGGAGGCCCCAAACUCUUAUGUCUUUAGUGGUUUUCUCCUCUGAGUGACACAUAAACAAAUAAAUAAAAACUUUCAACAAUGGAUCUCAGAUCGGAAGAGCA
RNAcentral lists this unclassified non-coding RNA (240 nucleotides) under soil metagenome. RNAcentral's name for it is "partial contains 5.8S ribosomal RNA, internal transcribed spacer 2, and large subunit ribosomal RNA". The record is from RNAcentral.